Junco hyemalis (dark-eyed junco) is the source of this 1720-nucleotide long non-coding RNA. The record is from Ensembl. NCBI's taxonomy places the organism in Eukaryota, Metazoa, Chordata, Aves, Passeriformes, Passerellidae.
CGCUGAUGCCGCGGGCCGCAAGGUGUGCUCGGCCGGGCCGUGUUUGCGCGGGUGCCCGGGCAGCGCUGCGCUCCCCGGCAGCGCUGCGCUCGGCCCAGGGCUAUAAUUAGAUUAGCAGCCUGCUCGGCAGCGGUGCCAGCCUGCGAGCCUCAGCGAGCAUGUGCUGGAUUCUGCAUGUGCCUCCCGCUUAUUGGCGGCCGGCGUUGCUGCCUGCCGGUUUGAUAGGUUUCCCCAGUAAUCUUUAUGCUGCAUUACAGACAUAGAUACAGAGAGGUACUGCGUGCAUGCAACGGGAGAGGUGCUCAGCUUGUAGCGUAAAGGAAAGCCCACAGAUGAAAGGCACUGGUCUUUGUUGCAAGGCAUCAGUACUUAAGGACUGCUAGCCUGGGAGCGGAGAGAGUCCUCUGGAGCAUUACAUUCCCCUGUUUGGAGUGUGGACAAGAGUUUGGCAUUCUGCUUUUACAGAAAUGGAGCCCCAGUGUCGUGGUGCCUGGAGCACCAGCUUUCAGAAGGACUUGUGUCUCCUCCAGCAAGUGAUUCUUACAACAGGCACCACGAAGUGUCACCACAGUGGAAAUGUGGGUACAGCUGUGUCUUCAUUAUCCUCUUGACGUCACAUUUGAAGCUUCCUCUCAGGUUCCUUAGAAAUAUGUUAAUUUUAAAAAAAAAGGAAGUUAUUUUCAGCAGAAGAGAGAUGAAACACAGUGCUACAUGUGUGUAAGUGUCCAGUUGGGAGCCCAGGGUGGGGCUCCCAUCAUUUCUCAGACAGCCUCUGCAUGUUGGCUCAUUCCUGCUGAACUGUAUUUGACUUGAAAGAGUGAAAAUAAUGAUUUUGCUUCUCACUAGUCUAGUUCAUAUAUCAGUCAACAAUUGUUGGCUUUGCCAAGGGAGACUUUUGCUCUAUUAAUCCACAAGCUUGCUCUCCAGAGUCCUUCACUGUGGCCUCACCCCAGCCUGCCAACUUCUGGGUCUGCUCAGGGCUUCUUACCCACACACAGCACAGAAAUAAUAUUAACAGCAUCCACUUAAAUCAACAAGACAGCUUUGGGACUAUGCUUACAACUGUUAAGCCAAAGCAUAAAUAUUUCUGGAAACCUCAAAAAUGUAAAUCUAGAGUGGGAAACUGCUUGAAAAUUCACCUGUCACAGGUAGUACUGCAGUUCCAGUGUCAUAUAAACAUAAAGUAGCUUUUGUUUUAACUUAGUCAGAUCCCUAGUGAAAUAUUUUGUGACCGCUUUUGUUUUCAAAUUUACUAUGCUUUAGUUCAGUAAUUGGUUUAUGACUGUAAUUACUAGUCUUUCAGGCAACACUUAUUAAAAACAAAUUAGGUUUCUGAAAACUCUGGUGAUUUCAUGAUCAUAUAGAUCCAUAUAAAUCACAGUUAAUUAAGCUCUUUAUCACUUAGGUUUUCCAUACACAAUGUAUUUACAGCAUUGCUGUAAAUAAGACACAAUAUUCCUAUCUUUCCACACCAAUUUAGUCAUAUUAAAACAAAAAUGGGUUUGUAAAAAUGGAGGCUGAAAAUCAGAAUUUACUUAAGUAGCCUGCUGCACACUAACAAUGAUACGAUGGUGUAAGCUGAUUGUGUUUAUCUAGAGAGGGGGAAAACCCCCUAGAAAUAUAAGCAUAAUCUGAAAAAUGCUAUUUUCAAACAGGGAAAAUGAAACAAGCCAAGUUAAAACUCUUUGAAUAUAUGUUUCCUUUCCAAGUCUUAUCAGAG